RNAcentral lists this ribosomal RNA (164 nucleotides) under Galium circaezans. Its description in RNAcentral is "5.8S ribosomal RNA". It matches the Rfam family "5.8S ribosomal RNA". Rfam says of the family: 5.8S ribosomal RNA (5.8S rRNA) is a component of the large subunit of the eukaryotic ribosome. It is transcribed by RNA polymerase I as part of the 45S precursor that also contains 18S and 28S rRNA. Lineage: Eukaryota; Viridiplantae; Streptophyta; Magnoliopsida; Gentianales; Rubiaceae. The record is from RNAcentral.
AAUACGACUCUCGGCAACGGAUAUCUAGGCUCUCGCAUCGAUGAAGAACGUAGCAAAAUGCGAUACUUGGUGUGAAUUGCAGAAUCCCGUGAAUCAUCGAGUUUUUGAACGCAAGUUGCGCCCGAAGCCAUUCGGCCGAGGGCACGCCUGCCUGGGCGUCACGC